CGUAAAGCGCAUGCAGGUGGUUUGUUAAGUCAGAUGUGAAAGACCCGGGGCGUCAACCUCGGAAUUGCAUUUGUAAACUAGGCAAACUAGAGUACUGUAGAGGGGGGUAGGAAUUUCAGGUGUAGCGGUGAAAUGCGUAGAGAUCUGAAGGAAUACCGGUGGCGAAGGCGGCCCCCUCGGACAGAUACUGACACUCAGAUGCGAAAGCGUGGGGAGCAAACAGGAUUAGAUACCCUGGUAG
Molecule: ribosomal RNA, 241 nt
Filed under: uncultured bacterium
Lineage: Bacteria
Description: partial 16S ribosomal RNA
Rfam family: Bacterial small subunit ribosomal RNA
Source: RNAcentral